RNAcentral lists this ribosomal RNA (253 nucleotides) under uncultured bacterium. RNAcentral's name for it is "partial 16S ribosomal RNA". It matches the Rfam family "Bacterial small subunit ribosomal RNA", at positions 524 to 776 of the family's 1533-position model. The record is from RNAcentral.
GACAGAGGUGCCGAGCGUUAGGCGGAAUCACUGGGCUUAAAGCGUGUGUAGGCGGAUCGGUAAGUACCUUGUGAAAUCCCACAGCUUAACUGUGGAACUGCUUGGUAUACUGCCGGUCUUGAGCCAGCUAGGGGCUACCGGAACAAAUGGUGGAGCGGUGAAAUGCGUAGAUAUCAUUUGGAACGCCAAUGGUGAAAACAGGUAGCUGGGGCUGUGCUGACGCUGAGACACGAAAGCCAGGGGAGCAAACGGG